GAUGAACGCUGGCGGCGUGCCUAAUACAUGCAAGUCGAGCGAACAGACGAGGAGCUUGCUCCUCUGACGUUAGCGGCGGACGGGUGAGUAACACGUGGAUAACCUACCUAUAAGACUGGGAUAACUUCGGGAAACCGGAGCUAAUACCGGAUAAUAUAUUGAACCGCAUGGUUCAAUAGUGAAAGACGGUUUUGCUGUCACUUAUAGAUGGAUCCGCGCCGCAUUAGCUAGUUGGUAAGGUAACGGCUUACCAAGGCAACGAUGCGUAGCCGAGCUGAGAGGGUGAUCGGCCACACUGGAACUGAGACACGGUCCAGACUCCUAAGGGAGGCAGCAGUAGGGAAUCUUCCGCAAUGGGCGAAAGCCUGACGGAGCAACGCCGCGUGAGUGAUGAAGGUCUUCGGAUCGUAAAACUCUGUUAUUAGGGAAGAACAAAUGUGUAAGUAACUAUGCACGUCUUGACGGUACCUAAUCAGAAAGCCACGGCUAACUACGUG
RNAcentral lists this ribosomal RNA (497 nucleotides) under uncultured bacterium. RNAcentral describes it as "partial 16S ribosomal RNA". It matches the Rfam family "Bacterial small subunit ribosomal RNA", at positions 28 to 507 of the family's 1533-position model. The record is from RNAcentral.